Molecule: ribosomal RNA, 483 nt
Filed under: uncultured bacterium
Lineage: Bacteria
Description: bacterial SSU rRNA
Rfam family: Bacterial small subunit ribosomal RNA
Source: RNAcentral
GAAUUCAACUCCUACGGGAGGCAGCAGUGGGGAAUUUUGGACAAUGGGCGCAAGCCUGAUCCAGCAAUGCCGCGUGAGUGAAGAAGGCCUUCGGGUUGUAAAGCUCUUUUGUCAGGGAAGAAACGGGAUUGGAUAAUACCUAGUCCUAAUGACGGUACCUGAAGUAUAAGCACCGGCUAACUACGUGCCAGCAGCCGCGGUAAUACGUAGGGUGCAAGCGUUAAUCGGAAUUACUGGGCGUAAAGCGUGCGCAGGCGGUUUUGUAAGUCUGACGUGAAAGCCCCGGGCUCAACCUGGGAAUUGCAUUUGAGACUGCACGGCUAGAGUGUGUCAGAGGGGGGUAGAAUUCCACGUGUAGCAGUGAAAUGCGUAGAUAUGUGGAGGAAUACCGUUGGCGAAGGCAGCCCCCUGGGAUAACACUGACGCUCAUGCACGAAAGCGUGGGGAGCAAACAGGAUUAGAAACCCGUGUAGUCCAGGCGUU